RNAcentral lists this long non-coding RNA (256 nucleotides) under Gossypium barbadense (sea-island cotton). RNAcentral describes it as "long non-coding RNA (GBAR_LNC015932)". The record is from RNAcentral. Lineage: Eukaryota; Viridiplantae; Streptophyta; Magnoliopsida; Malvales; Malvaceae.
GAACACGGUGGAGCAUCUCCAUCAAUAAGACCAGAAUUGCUUCUCAUUGCCAUAAGUUGUUUGUUCUGACUUUGGGAUUGAUGCACUGAAAGUUGUUGAGGUUGCACAGACAUCGAUGUUGAGAAGCCAUUGCUACCCAGUGGUUGCACCUGGCUCUGAGAAAGAGGCAACUGCUGCAAUGGUUGGUUCUGUUGAUGAGUUUGCUGUUGCUGCAACAUUGGAGGCUGCAGCAGUGACCCAGCUGCGGAGAGUAAUU